RNAcentral lists this ribosomal RNA (500 nucleotides) under uncultured bacterium. RNAcentral describes it as "partial 16S ribosomal RNA". It matches the Rfam family "Bacterial small subunit ribosomal RNA", at positions 355 to 845 of the family's 1533-position model. The record is from RNAcentral.
UGGGGAAUCUUCCGCAAUGGACGAAAGUCUGACGGAGCAACGCCGCGUGUAUGAUGAAGGUCUUCGGAUUGUAAAGUACUGUCAUUGGGGAAGAACGGUUUUCUUGAAAAGAUUGAGAAGACAUGACGGUACCCAAGGAGGAAGCCCCGGCUAACUACGUGCCAGCAGCCGCGGUAAUACGUAGGGGGCAAGCGUUGUCCGGAAUUAUUGGGCGUAAAGGGCGCGUAGGCGGGCCUUUAAGUCCGGUGUGAAAGAUCAGGGCUCAACCCUGAGAGUGCAUCGGAAACUGGAGGCCUUGAGGACAGGAGAGGAAAGUGGAAUUCCACGUGUAGCGGUGAAAUGCGUAGAUAUGUGGAGGAACACCAGUGGCGAAGGCGACUUUCUGGACUGUAACUGACGCUGAGGCGCGAAAGCGUGGGGAGCAAACAGGAUUAGAUACCCUGGUAGUCCACGCCGUAAACGAUGAGUGCUAGGUGUAGAGGGUAUCACCCCCUUCUGUG